RNAcentral lists this ribosomal RNA (713 nucleotides) under uncultured Pseudomonadota bacterium. RNAcentral's name for it is "bacterial SSU rRNA". It matches the Rfam family "Bacterial small subunit ribosomal RNA", at positions 65 to 773 of the family's 1533-position model. Lineage: Bacteria; Pseudomonadati; Pseudomonadota. The record is from RNAcentral.
AGCGGCAGCGCGGGGGCAACCCUGGCGGCGAGCGGCGAACGGGUGAGUAAUGCAUCGGAACGUGUCCUCUUGUGGGGGAUAACCAGUCGAAAGACUGGCUAAUACCGCAUGAGAUCGAGAGAUGAAAGCAGGGGACCGCAAGGCCUUGCGCGAGAGGAGCGGCCGAUGCCCGAUUAGCUAGUUGGUGGGGUAAAAGCCUACCAAGGCGACGAUCGGUAGCUGGUCUGAGAGGACGACCAGCCACACUGGGACUGAGACACGGCCCAGACUCCUACGGGAGGCAGCAGUGGGGAAUUUUGGACAAUGGGGGCAACCCUGAUCCAGCCAUGCCGCGUGUGUGAAGAAGGCCUUCGGGUUGUAAAGCACUUUCGGACGGAACGAAAUUGCGCGGAUUAAUAACCCGCGUAGAUGACGGUACCGUAAGAAGAAGCACCGGCUAACUACGUGCCAGCAGCCGCGGUAAUACGUAGGGUGCGAGCGUUAAUCGGAAUUACUGGGCGUAAAGUGUGCGCAGGCGGCGUUGCAAGUCGAGUGUGAAAUCCCCGAGCUUAACUUGGGAAUUGCGCUCGAAACUACGAUGCUCGAGUGUGGCAGAGGAAGGUGGAAUUCCACGUGUAGCGGUGAAAUGCGUAGAGAUGUGGAGGAACACCGAUGGCGAAGGCAGCCUUCUGGGCCAACACUGACGCUCAUGCACGAAAGCGUGGGGAGCAAAC